GUAAUGGCCUACCAAGGCGACGACGGGUAGCCGACCUGAGAGGGUGACCGGCCACACUGGGACUGAGACACGGCCCAGACUCCUACGGGAGGCAGCAGUGGGGAAUAUUGCACAAUGGGCGGAAGCCUGAUGCAGCGACGCCGCGUGAGGGAUGAAGGCCUUCGGGUUGUAAACCUCUUUCAGCAGGGACGAAGCGUGAGUGACGGUACCUGCAGAAGAAGCACCGGCUAACUACGUGCCAGCAGCCGCGGUAAUACGUAGGGUGCGAGCGUUGUCCGGAAUUAUUGGGCGUAAAGAGCUCGUAGGCGGUUUGUCGCGUCUGCCGUGAAAGUCCGGGGCUUAACUCCGGAUCUGCGGUGGGUACGGGCAGACUAGAGUGUUUCAGGGGAGACUGGAAUUCCUGGUGUAGCGGUGAAAUGCGCAGAUAUCAGGAGGAACACCGAUGGCGAAGGCAGGUCUCUGGGUAGUAACUGACGCUGAGGAGCGAAAGCAUGGGUAGCGAACAGGAUUAGAUACCCUGGUAGUCCAUGCCGUAAACGGUGGGCGCUAGG
Molecule: ribosomal RNA, 551 nt
Filed under: uncultured Actinomycetes bacterium
Lineage: Bacteria; Bacillati; Actinomycetota; Actinomycetes
Description: bacterial SSU rRNA
Rfam family: Bacterial small subunit ribosomal RNA
Source: RNAcentral